AGUUGUUUCUGGUGCUGAGGUCGAUACUUGGUGGUCCAUCUGAUUUAAUUACUUUUUUGAACUUUGUAGCAGUUUGGUACAACUGAGUGGAUCGCUAGGCCAUUUCAGAGGGCGUGUAAGAGUCAACUGCAUUGCUGUGUCCUGUCCUCUCUCCCAGACGGGGAUGUGUUGAGAUACAGCGGCCCGCCCCGUACUCUCUCCGGGACGGGGACGUGUUGAGGUGGGUAGGUGGGCGGGCGGCCCGCCCCGUGCUCCCUCCAUGUGUCGAAUUCUCAGGUGAAACAAACAAUCGGCGCCAGUUCCGGGUUCGCUGACGUCACCGCUCGCUCGCGCCCGCCCAUUAACGGUGGGAGGCCGAGGCUUUAGUCGGAGACGCGGUGGAAGGCCGGCUUCACACUGAGUUUUUGGCCGUCAUUCUGUUAUGUGUCGGAGGCUGUGCGGGCCUCGGCUGCUUUGGCUCUGGCUUCUGAUGUGGGCUGGACAUGCGGUGCUGGGUACGCGGGUGUCCAUGAAGCAGCAAGAAAACAGGACCGGCACCCUCCUGGUCCAGGGUCACCAAGCCAACAGCAGUAGCAACAGCACCGGGCAGGAGGCGAGAGUGGAGACCAAGGGUGGCAAGUACCAUGAGACCUCUGCAGAACAGACCAUGAUGAUCCAGCGGGCCCUGUAUGUGCUGGUCGUUGUCACCGCCCUGGUCGUCAUCUACUUCGUGGUGAGAACCAUCAGGAUGAGAAGGAUUAACAGAAAAAACCGCAAGUAUGGUAUACUGAACACAAAUCUAGAAAACAUGGAAAUGAGGCCUUUAGAUCAAGACGAUGAUGAUGAGGAUGAUACAUUAUUUGAUGUACAUCAUUCAAGAAGACAUAUGACCUCUCGUUUGGAAUCCCCACAAGUGGAAACAUUCUAGCUCACUGGAAGACAAACUAUCAUGUGCUAUUGGGCUAUAAUUAGGUAGUCUCAAAGGUAAAUGGAGUCAAUCCUAAGAGUGCACCCUGCAAGAAAACCAAAACUACAGAGCAAUAUCAAGAAACUGCCUGCAUCUUGUUUUACCAUAAUGAGCUCUAAAUCUAUGUAUUAUGUCAGCUGUAUUGUAAGUUACUGUACAGUAGUUUUGUAGCUCCACUAUCUUAUUGAAAAAUUCACUAUUUUAAUAAGGUAAAUAUUUGUUUCUAUAAUUAUAAAUGAAAAUGGAGAAUGUAUUUUUUUAAUUCUGUCAAAAGUGACAAUUAUAUAGUCUUUUUAGGGUUGAAAAAUCAAGAUGAAUUUUUCCCAGUUCUUUUGUACAUAUGACCAUUAAUCUGAGUUUGGACUGAAACAAUAUGGGGUUAGAAUUUCUCUUCUAAAAAGAAACCUGAGAUCUGUAUUUUCCAAGUUCAACUUUGACCCCUGUUUUAAAAUUAGAAUCAGAUCCUGGAAUAAAAAUAUCGAGUCACAAAGAUUUAAAAAAUAGCUGGUGACUAAUGUAGAACCCAGGGGUAGUAAGACUUCAGCAUCUGCAGAACAAUAUAAAUUAUUACUGUAGUUUGUAGCACUAAUGUUAGAUAUUGGUAUUUUACAGUAAUCUGUUAAAAUAUUUUACUGCAGUGUUGAUAUUAUAGAGAUGUUGCAUAUCAGUGCAUUAUAUAGAGAUUCAAAAUUCUGUCAUUUUGUACAGAAUAUACACUGAUGUGCACAAACUAGGAAAGUGUUUACAGACUACCUACCUGAAGAAAUUCCUGUGAAGAUUUGUUUGAUUUUUUUUGUCCCUUUUGUGCAAUGUAGGUUAGGAAUGAGAACUUGAAAGAAUGUUUGCUUAAUGUUGAUCAAUGCUUUUCAAUUAAAUUUCUGUAAUUUACUUUUAUGGAGUUUUUUUGGGCAAAUGAUGGUGACCUUUAUAAGUUAACUUACAAGGAUUUUUAAGUAGUAACACACUUUGAAACUUACUUUGGAUUAAACAUCAGUUGCUACUGCUAUUAAUAGAAUGCUAACAAAUAUGGUUUCAACUCUUUUGUAAAUAAAAACCAUACCCUUCA
This is an RNA transcript of Carcharodon carcharias (great white shark), 2012 nucleotides long. It is a transcript of the gene named membrane protein FAM174A-like, with no coding region annotated. The record is from RefSeq and is a predicted model, not a curated record. NCBI's taxonomy places the organism in Eukaryota, Metazoa, Chordata, Chondrichthyes, Lamniformes, Lamnidae. The transcript has 4 exons.